UGACGGAGCACGCCGCGUGAGGGAUGAAGGCCUCUGGGCUGUAAACCUCUUUUAUCAAGGAAGAAAAUCUGACGGUACUUGAUGAAUAAACCACGGCUAAUUCCGUGCCAGCAGCCGCGGUAAUACGGGAGUGGCAAGCGUUAUCCGGAAUUAUUGGGCGUAAAGCGUCCGCAGGCGGCCCUUCAAGUCUGCUGUUAAAAAGUGGAGCUUAACUCCAUCAUGGCAGUGGAAACUGUUGGGCUUGAUUGUGGUAGGGGCAUAGGGAAUUCCCGGUGUAGCGGUGAAAUGCGUAGAUAUCGGGAAGAACACCAGUGGCAAAGGCGCUCUGCUGGGCCAUCACUGACGCUCAUGGACGAAAGCCAGGGGAGCGAAAGGGAUUAGAUACCCCUGUAGUCCUGGCCGUAAACGAUGAACACUACGUGUCGGGGGAAUCGACCCCCUCGGUGUCGUAGCCAACGCGUUAAGUGUUCCGCCUGGGGAGUACGCACGCAAGUGUGAAACUCAAAGGAAUUGACGG
Molecule: ribosomal RNA, 517 nt
Filed under: uncultured marine bacterium
Lineage: Bacteria
Description: bacterial SSU rRNA
Rfam family: Bacterial small subunit ribosomal RNA
Source: RNAcentral